RNAcentral lists this ribosomal RNA (440 nucleotides) under uncultured bacterium. RNAcentral describes it as "partial 16S ribosomal RNA". It matches the Rfam family "Bacterial small subunit ribosomal RNA", at positions 338 to 795 of the family's 1533-position model. The record is from RNAcentral.
CCUACGGGGGGCAGCAGUGGGGAAUAUUGCACAAUGAGGGAAACCCUGAUGCAGCGACGCCGCGUGAGUGAAGAAGUAUUUCGGUAUGUAAAGCUCUAUCAGCAGGGAAGAAAAUGACGGUACCUGAUUAAGAAGCCCCUGCUAACUACGUGCCAGCAGCCGCGGUAAUACGUAGGGGCAAAGCGUUAUCCGGAUUUACUGGGUGGAAAGGGAGCGUAGACGGCAGCACAAGUCUGGAGUGAAAUGCCGGGGCUUAACCCCGGAACCGCUUUGGAAACUGUGCAGCUAGAGUACAGGAGAGGUAAGUGGAAUUCCUAGUGUAGCGGUGAAAUGCGUAGAUAUUAGGAGGAACACCAGUGGCGAAGGCGGCUUACUGGACUGUAACUGACGUUGAGGCUCGAAAGCGUGGGGAGCAAACAGGAUUAGAUACCCGGGUAGUC